RNAcentral lists this long non-coding RNA (576 nucleotides) under Ailuropoda melanoleuca (giant panda). RNAcentral's name for it is "lncRNA (ENSAMEG00000029736.1)". The record is from RNAcentral. Lineage: Eukaryota; Metazoa; Chordata; Mammalia; Carnivora; Ursidae.
GCGGCAAAUGGGAAAGUUGCACUUUCACAUCUUCUCUCAGUCAGUCUCCCCCGACUCCAAGUCCUUUCCCUCCUUCCUCGCACCAGCCACACUCACUCCCGCUACCCCUCCACCUGGUACGUACCAGUGGCGCGCAGAGCUUCCCGCCGCGCCCGGGCCAGGUGUCCUCGCGCUCGGGCUCGCCCAGCCUCCGUGUGGCCGAGAGCAGCGACGCGGGCUCUAGCUCGCGGCCGCCUCUACAGUCUAAGGGAUGCGGCCGCGUCUGAGCUGCUGAGCUGGGGCGCAGCCAGGCGGUGGCAGCGACUCCGGGGGCGGAGGGAGCAGCCACCGGGACCCGCCUCCAGCGCAGAGCGCCCCCCCCCUCCCGCCUCCGGCUCUCGCGUGUCCGCUUGCAGCGCAGUCCCGGGCGACGUGGGGCUCGAGGGUAAGCGCGACCGAGGCUCUUCCUUGUUGGCUCUCCUGCGUGCAAGAAGCUACAACUUGUCGGUUGACCCAUCUGUACGCGGCCGCAGGGUUUGUGCUCCACGUGUCACAAGGUUGCCUUUUGAUCUAGUCGUGGCUGGAGAAGAACACUGA